Molecule: long non-coding RNA, 1246 nt
Organism: Ictalurus punctatus (channel catfish)
Lineage: Eukaryota; Metazoa; Chordata; Actinopteri; Siluriformes; Ictaluridae
Source: Ensembl
CAAAAACGUUGAUCCGUCAUCUCACAUUGGAUUCAGCAACAGAUCUUCCAGACGGUAAACAUUAAAGUCAGAUAAAAGGUAAACAAUGACAGCUGACAUUUAUUCAUUCAUUCAAUGACAUUCAUUCAUUCACUGGAAUUAAUACAUAAUUUGUAUUUUUUAAGCACAUUUUAUUUAUUUAUUUUACAUUUAUUAUAAUGAUCAAACUUUCCGUUAAUUCUUUUCUGUUAUCAUGGUUGUAUGGAGUAAGGUCCUGUUUUUAUUUAAUAAUCUAUGAACGUUUUUGGUCACGUUAUUUCUUAUUUCAUAAUCGAGUCAGGAAUUGUCUUUAUAAUGUCCAAAAUGAUAAAUGAAAGUACAUUUAGGGCUACUGCUAGGGCUAUAUUAGGUCCAGCAUAUAAUGAAGCAUAAAUAAGAAAAGCCAUAAAGAACAGUCUGAAAAAUGAAACUUAAUACUGAAACUUAAUGAAGGCCUGCAGCUAGUGGUGGCCUGCUAUGCUGUGUGUGUGUGUGUGCACUAGAAAAACUCCCUGGGAAGUCCAUCCCUGGGGCCGUUGUUGUCCACUAUAGGGGGUUCCCAUAAGUAACGCAAUCAAAGAAACAACAAGAACAAAAGAAAGAAAAAGGAAAGAAUUCUAGUAGUUAUCCCAACAUGUGCAUGCGUUCAUAAUGAGAAGUUAGACAGUAAUGGCUGUGUAAACAUGAUUAAUAAAAACCUGGAGGCAGCUUUAACCAAAUGCACGGGGUCAUUAUUUCAUCGGAAAGAAAGGAUAUAGAAUUCUGAAAUAUUUCAAACAAAGAAAGCAACUGUUCAGUAUCUUGACUGCUUAAUGUUCAGGCUUCAGCACUAUUUCUAGGUUAAAUGUGAGUAAAUGUGUGAUCUUGACCAUAUUAACUGGUUUGUACAGAAAGUCCGAUUCUCCUCAUGUCUAAUCUCUUCUACUGAAGGAUGUGUUCAGAGGAUAUUCCGAUGGACUUGAUCUAAAAUGGAUAAAAGGUUUUGCACAAAGAUGUGGAGUCCAUGUCCCUCAUUAAAGCAGAACCGGUACCAGAUACUAAGAAAAUCUGAUUUUACUUUUCACUCAAGUUCUCAUCAAUAAAUAUAUUUCAUUAGAGUAGAAAAAGAAUGCGAAAGAAGCGCUCAGACUUUUAGAUCCAUAUAUAUAUAUAUAUAUAUAUAUAUAUAUAUAUAUAUAUACACACACACACACCCCACACACACACAAUUACAACAUUUCUGCAGGAC